Molecule: long non-coding RNA, 1643 nt
Filed under: Bos indicus x Bos taurus (hybrid cattle)
Lineage: Eukaryota; Metazoa; Chordata; Mammalia; Artiodactyla; Bovidae
Description: lncRNA (ENSBIXG00005006252.1)
Source: RNAcentral
CACUCAUCUCACAUGCUAGUAAAGUAAUUCUUAAAAUUCUCCAAACCAGGCUUCAGCAAUAUGUGAACCAUGAAAUUCCAGAUGUUCAAGUUGGUUUUAUAAAAGGCAGAGGAAUCAGAGAUCAAAUUGCCAAUAUCUGCUGGAUCAUCAAAAAAGCAAGAGAGCUUCAGAAAAACAUCUAUUUCUGUUUUAUUGACUAUGCCAAAGCCUUUGACUGUGUGUACUGGGGUCCAGCCCUGGUAGGAUCCAGGGAAUCCCUCAGGAGGAUGGCAUCAGUGAAUAGGGAAAGUAAAAGGGGAGAGAAAGAGGCUUGAUCUUCCUUGGUUUACACAGAAAGCCAAUAAAGUCCAAGACACUGGACUUGCUCUGUCUACGGAGGCCACAGGAGCCCUCUCGGUGGGGUGAAGACGCAGGGCGCCCUUCCCCUGAAGACGCUAGGCACCUUCCAGAUUGAGUCUUAGAAACCCGGGCAGAUAAGUGGACUCAGAGAGCCCCUGUGCUCCAAGUAGUCAUCCUGAAAGAAGAACAGAGAGAGAAAAGGAGAGAAAAGGGAAAAAGAAUGACACGCGGAGACCAAGCUCUGAUGAAGCCAGCUCCGUAGCUUUAUUUUCAAAAGGACCUUUUAUACCCCAAGUUGUACAUAGAGGAUAAUAGGGGGUAUAGAGCCAUGAAAGGUCAGCAGUCCUUGAUCCUUAUCGAGACCAGGUUUCUUUCUGCAAACUUACCAUAUACAAAGGCUUUAGGUGAUUUACAUCAUCUUCUGGCCAGGAGGCAUGUUAACAUUUUUCUUCUGAUAAAGCUGAGUCAACCAGAAAAACUUAUUUUCUCCAAAGGUGAUUUACAUCAUCUUCUGGCCAGGAGGCAUGUUAACAUUUUUCUUCUGAUAAAGCUGAGUCAACCAGAAAAACUUAUUUUCUCCAAAGGUGAUUUCUUUAAAGUUUGGCAACACUUUCUGAAAGCACUAGAUAAAGUUGCAUUCCUAUAGGGCAAAGUGCAGUGGGGGAUGACAAGGAAAGAAUUUAUUAACUCAAGGGUCUAAGGAGGUUAACAUCAAGGUUACUACUUAUAUUUCUAUAUACCAACUAUAUUAAUUAAUAUACUCACAAGGACACAAUGGGUAAGGGAUAUAGAAACUUGGCAGCAAGCAUUAGCUCAAGAAUGAAAUCCUCCAUCAGUUCUGUUCUAAUAAUUUUAACUCCCUGAGAAGCUCUAUAUUGUUUGAAUAUCUUAAGCUUCCUGUGCCUCUCGCGGUUGGGAGGAUGUAAACAAUCAUAUGCGUAGCUGUGGGAGUCUGGAUAAACCUGUCAGGCAAGUUAGAAAGCUAUCUGAGGGAUUUGAAUUGAAACACUCCUAUUGUGCCCAGGAGACUUAUUAACUAGAGCUCUAAGUUGAUGUCCUUCAGAGAAAGGUGGUCGGGGAUAGCUUCCCAUUAAUGUCAGAGGAGUUGGUGCAAGUCAUAAAAUAGUAAGACAGACAGAUUCUGGUUUUGGGGUAGAUGCUCGAGCAGGUCCAGGGGGUCCCUUGAGUCCUGCCUGACUCGCCUUUGCCUUCAGGUCCUCUCUGCAUGACCUUUGUUAUGGGUGGGAUCUCCCAUGCUGGUUCCCGGCAUGUGUGGAUCACAAUAAACUGAGGAAAAUUCUUCA